GACGAACGCUGGCGGCGUGCUUAACACAUGCAAGUCGAACGGAAAGGCCUCUUUCGGGGGGUACUCGAGUGGCGAACGGGUGAGUAACACGUGAGUAACCUGCCCUUGACUUUGGGAUAACUUCAGGUAACUGGGGCUAAUACCGGAUAGGAGCUCCUGCUGCAUGGUGGGGGUUGGAAAGUUUCGGCGGUUGGGGAUGGACUCGCGGCUUAUCAGCUUGUUGGUGGGGUAGUGGCUUACCAAGGCUUUGACGGGUAGCCGGCCUGAGAGGGUGACCGGCCACAUUGGGACUGAGAUACGGCCCAGACUCCUACGGGAGGCAGCAGUGGGGAAUAUUGCACAAUGGGUGGAAGCCUGAUGCAGCAACGCCGUGUGCGGGAUGACGGCCUUCGGGUUGUAAACCGCUUUCGCUCAUGACGAAGCUUUGUGUGACGGUAGUGGGUAAAGAAGCACCGGCUAACUACGUG
RNAcentral lists this ribosomal RNA (467 nucleotides) under uncultured bacterium. Its description in RNAcentral is "partial 16S ribosomal RNA". It matches the Rfam family "Bacterial small subunit ribosomal RNA", at positions 28 to 507 of the family's 1533-position model. The record is from RNAcentral.